RNAcentral lists this ribosomal RNA (465 nucleotides) under uncultured bacterium. RNAcentral's name for it is "partial 16S ribosomal RNA". It matches the Rfam family "Bacterial small subunit ribosomal RNA", at positions 28 to 507 of the family's 1533-position model. The record is from RNAcentral.
GAUGAACGCUGGCGGCGUGCUUAACACAUGCAAGUCGAACGGAAAGGCUCCUGCUUGCAGGGGUACUCGAGUGGCGAACGGGUGAGUAACACGUGGGUGAUCUGCCCUGCACUUCGGGAUAAGCCUGGGAAACUGGGUCUAAUACCGGAUAGGACCACAUUUUGGAUGGUGUGGUGGAAAGUUUUUCGGUGUGGGAUGAGCUCGCGGCCUAUCAGCUUGUUGGUGGGGUAAUGGCCUACCAAGGCGUCGAGGGGUAGCCGGCCUGAGAGGGUGUACGGCCAUGUGGGGAGUGAGAUGCCGCCCAGACGGCGGGGGGAGGCAGGGGGGGAGAAUAUAGCAAAGGGGGAGGACGUGGGACGCAGCCGCGCCGGGGGGGGGAUGACGUUCGGGGGGUUAAACUCCGCUUGCGAGGGAGACGGAGUGUGAGUGACGGUACCGGGUAAAGAAGCACCGGCUAACUACGUG